CGCUAGCUACAGGCUUAACACAUGCAAGUCGAGGGGCAGCAUGGUCUUAGCUUGCUAAGGCUGAUGGCGACCGGCGCACGGGUGAGUAACACGUAUCCAACCUGCCGUCUACUCUUGGCCAGCCUUCUGAAAGGAAGAUUAAUCCAGGAUGGCAUCAUGAGUUCACAUGUCCGCAUGAUUAAAGGUAUUUUCCGGUAGACGAUGGGGAUGCGUUCCAUUAGAUAGUAGGCGGGGUAACGGCCCACCUAGUCAACGAUGGAUAGGGGUUCUGAGAGGAAGGUCCCCCACAUUGGAACUGAGACACGGUCCAAACUCCUACGGGAGGCAGCAGUGAGGAAUAUUGGUCAAUGGGCGAUGGCCUGAACCAGCCAAGUAGCGUGAAGGAUGACGG
RNAcentral lists this ribosomal RNA (391 nucleotides) under uncultured Bacteroides sp. Its description in RNAcentral is "bacterial SSU rRNA". It matches the Rfam family "Bacterial small subunit ribosomal RNA", at positions 34 to 414 of the family's 1533-position model. The record is from RNAcentral. Lineage: Bacteria; Pseudomonadati; Bacteroidota; Bacteroidia; Bacteroidales; Bacteroidaceae.